RNAcentral lists this microRNA precursor (58 nucleotides) under Euprymna scolopes. RNAcentral's name for it is "Esc-Mir-12547_pre stem-loop". The record is from RNAcentral. Lineage: Eukaryota; Metazoa; Mollusca; Cephalopoda; Sepiida; Sepiolidae.
UGUCUCAUGUAUUGGAAUGUUGCCUCAGUUUCACCAACAUUCCAGUGCCUGAGUCAUA